This is a long non-coding RNA of Daphnia pulex (common water flea), 564 nucleotides long. RefSeq lists it as uncharacterized. Lineage: Eukaryota; Metazoa; Arthropoda; Branchiopoda; Diplostraca; Daphniidae. The record is from RefSeq and is a predicted model, not a curated record. The transcript is spliced from 3 exons.
GAAUCGAGACAUUGCCCAGGUUGGUUUUCUAUCGAGAGGGACUGAGGGGAAAGGCCGGCCAGCCAACAUCAAAAGAUUGUCCGGAUGAGUGACAGGAAUGUUUCACAGCCUCUCACCAGUUAUGACCGAUUGGUGCUGUUCGGUCCAUUUCGCCCACCGUUCCAUAAAAUACGAUCAGCGCCAAAAAUCGCCAAGCCCAUCAUCAGCUCGGUGAUGGUCGAUAAUCUGUUGGCCGUUAAUUCCGCGUCUCCAGAGGCUAGGCGCCGAGAGAAAACUGAGCCCGCUCGAAAAACAAUAUCCUGAUGAUGAUGAUCCUUUUCGCAAUCUUCUUUUCAGGUACAUUUCAGGCGCACCACCACCUGUAUCUUUUUGAGAUCUAAAAACCAGUAGUAGUAGUAGUGAUGAUGUAUAUACCCACCGGUCCGGUCCGGGCCGCGCAGUUUAGAUUUUCUUACAGUUUCAAACUGAUGUACAUUCACAUAAGUUUGAGGUAUUGCCACAUCUUCUCGAGAAGGUCGUCGAAAUUCCAUUUGUGAUGGGCAGAGAUGGGUACACAAUGGGGAA